Molecule: RNA transcript, 4449 nt
Organism: Helianthus annuus (common sunflower)
Lineage: Eukaryota; Viridiplantae; Streptophyta; Magnoliopsida; Asterales; Asteraceae
Gene name: protein MODIFIER OF SNC1 1
Exons: 11
Source: RefSeq, a predicted model, not a curated record
UGACUCCCUCAUUUAAUCACAUACCGUAUCCUUUUUUAGCCUUACCCUGUUUCCGGUACUCGACCCACCCACUCACCCUAACCUCUUCGAUUCCCCUUCGCAUCACUUCUCUCCACAAUCACACAACCACCCCAAACCCGUCGGAAAACCUAACGCCACCGUCACCGUUACCGUAACCGUCGUUCUCCAUAUUCUCAUCAUCCUUGCUAUCGCUUUCGAGGAUCGCAGAUCCGACUCCUGGUUGUAGAUCCGAAUUAUUCGUCUCCGGUCAUCAAUUUCUCUCCCUACGCUUUAUAGAUAGUCAUUGGAUGACCUUGGAACUACAUUUGAGCAAUGACAUCAAGUAUGUUGGCUGGAGAACGGAGGUGGGCCUCUUCAAGAAGAGGCGGCAUGACUGUAUUGGGCAAAGUUGCUGUUCCUAAACCUAUUAAUUUACCUAGCCAGAAGUUAGAAAACCAUGGUCUGGAUCCAAAUGUGGAAAUUGUUCCCAAGGGUAGCCUUAGCUGGGGAAGUCGAUCAUCUUCAUCAGCAUCAAAUCCUUGGGGUUCAUCAUCAGCUUCUCCAAACACUGAUGGUAGUAGUACUGUUUCCCCACAUCAUCCUAGUGGUCGUCCUUCAUCAGGCGGUGGCCUUAGUCGGCCAUCCACCGCUGGCAGUGACAGACACGAGCCUUCUGCUACGUGGGGCCCAAAUUCUAGGCCGUCAUCAGCUUCUGGGGUGCUGGCAUCUAAUCAAUCGUCAUUAACAUCUUCACGCCCUCUCAGUGCAGAAACAAGACCAGGUAGCUCACAUUUAUCCCGUUUUGCUGAGCCUGUGUAUGAUAAUUCAGUAGCGUGGGGCCCUAAUGGUACUGUAGCAGAUAAGCUGUCAAUAUCCUCCAAAGUCAAUGAUUUUUCUCUCAGUUCUGGGGACUUUCCAACCCUGGGUUCAGAAAAAGAUAAUACUUCUAAGAGCAGUGAACCACAUGAUCAUGUUCGUCCAGGUUCAAGUUCUGGCAGAGGUGUACCUGCCAAAGAGAGAAAUGAGACGGCUCAAGCCGGUCACAAAAGUGGAACUAUUGAUACUUGGACAAGAGACGUUUCUCCAAAUUUUGAAGACGGGGUAGUCCACCCUAAUGCUGACAAGUGGCAGGGGGACCCACCGCAAUACUUCAAUUCUAAUGUUCCCCCUCAACAUUAUGAUGCCUGGCGUGGCCCACCAAUGAAUACACCUCCUGGUGUUUGGUAUAGAGGACCCCCGCCUGCUGGUCCACCAUAUCCACCUGUUCCUCAUGGUGGGUUUCCAAUGGAGCCUUUUCCUUACUAUCAUCGCCCUCAGAUCCCCCCUCCAUUGGCAAAUUCACAAUCGGGCCCUCCACCUGGGCCUGGCCCACGAGGUCAUCAUCCAAGAAAUGGAGACUUCUACAGACCUCAAAUGCCUGAUGCUUUUAUUCGUCCCGGUAUGCCAAUUAGGCCUGGGUUUUACCCUGGUCCGGUUCCUUAUGAUGGUUAUUUUGGUCCUCCGAUGGGCUACAAUCCCAAUGAGCGUGAUAUGCCAUUUAUGGGAAUGCCACCUGGACCAUGUGGGCCACCUGGACCACCUGUUUACAACAUGUGUCCACCUCAAAACCCUACAGAACUCAACGAUCCCCACUUUAGAGGUGGUGGGCGUGGGUCAGUUGGAAAUGCGUUUGUUUCGGAAAAGCAGGAUCCUAUUCCACCUGAGGAAUCUCGUGGGCCCUACAAAGUUCUUAGAAAACGUGAAAAUGAAAGGGAUGUUGAAAUGGAAGCAGACAAUUGGGAGCAGAAUAUAGAAAAGGGCCCACACAAGUCUAAAGCAUCCAAUGAGAGUUGGGGGAAUAAGUCAUCUAAUAUCGAAGAUCCAAAAGAUUUGAAUUUGAUACAUGAUGUUGAGGGUUUGAAUCCGAAAGUCCGUGCUUUGGAUAUUCAGGGGGACGCAGAACAAAAUAAUGACUUGUUAACUAACCCUACAAUUGCAUUCGGUAGCAUCUCCAUCACUGGAGAUCUUUCCCAUCACUAUGACAAAUCAAGGCAAGUGCAUCAUCAUAACAGAGGAAGAUCAAGUAAUCAAGAUACCGACGGGUGGCGAAAGAAACCUCCAAUUCUAGGUUUGGAAAUAUCCACACCAGAGAAUCCUGAAAUUAAGAAUACAGAAUCGACUCAAAUGGUUGAUCUUGCUGAUGGUCAAGCGCAGCGAGCUAAGAUGAGGGAGUUGGCAAAACAACGUGCAAUUGAACGACAGAAGGAAGAGGAAGAAAGAAUCAGAGAGCAGAAAGCAAAAGCGCUUGCAAAAUUGGAAGAGUUGAAUAGACGUACACUUGCAGCAGCAGACGGUACCGCCCAUACAGCAGAAAAAAACGCUACUAGUGUUCCUGAGCAAGUGGAUGUGGAUGGAUCCCAAAAACCUACUGGACUAACUAUUGAUGAUGGUAUAAAAGAGCCUGUUGACCAGAUCAGUGUGAACAGUCAACAAGAACCUGCUGACCAGUCUUUGCUUGUGAAACAAGGCGUUGCUAAUGCAACUGAUGCCGAAAGCAAAGCUGCGUCACUUGGUAAUGAUGGUGGCGUUCACAGGCAGAAGCGGGCUAUUCAUAAACAAAAGCCGAGUGUACAAACGGUAGAGGCUUUGGUUGACAAGUCAACUCUGAGCGGGACAGCCGACACAGUUAUAAAGAAUCCAGUAUUAGGUGAAGCUGUAUCAAGUCAGGAGCCAACUCUACCAACCAACUCAAAUAUCGUGUCUGAAUCAACUCAGCCGAAAAAGAGAACUAACAAGAGUAGCAAGAAUAAGCAUAAGGUUGACGAUGCCUCUGCAUCAAGAGAAGUUAAUCUCUCUAAGCCAGAAUCUCAAACGGAUUUAAAUCAACAUCCCAGCGCCGUAUCGAUGACUGAUAGCAAGGAUACUAAACAAUCUAAUCUAGAACAGGUUUCAUCUUUACCAAGUAACCAGUAUAAACCGCAGCACCCAAGAAGGAUGCCAAGAAACCCACAAGCUAAUAGAUUUCAUGUUGGUGAUGUUGCUGUGUGGGCCCCUGUGCGGGCCCAGAACAAAGAAGAGAGCGUGCAGGAUGAUGUGCCUUUGCCAGAUAAGAGCGUUACUCAUGGUCAGACUAAUCUCAAAAGCAAAAGGGCAGAAAUGGAAAGAUACGUCCCGAAGCCAGUGGCCAAAGAGCUGGACCAGCAGGGAAACGUUAACAAAUCACCAUCUUCACCGAAGAAAAGUAUGUCAGAAGAUGUGACAGGUUCUGUGGGGCCUACUGUUGAGGCAAAAAGUGGUGAUAAUAAGCAAACGAAGCAGGUGAAAUCUCAUGCAGCUGGGCGCCAACAGGAUGUGAAGAAAAGUCAUCACAAAUCUACAAGCCAACAUGAAGAAUCAUUAUCAAACCCUGUUCGGACUGAAACUAAUGUUACGCAUGAGUGGGACCCAUCUGAUGGCUGGUUUAUGCCUGACGAAUACCCAACAACUGGAGUUACAUCUGUCACUACUGCUGUGAAAGAUGAAGGUGGAGUGACGGGUAAAGAAAAAAGACCGGCUUACAAAGGUCAAAGGAGUGUGGUGAAAAACCACAAGGAUGUUAGUAGUGCAGAAAUGGAGGUUGACCAAACAGAUCGGCCAGCUUCUUCUAAAGAGAAUCAUUCUCACUGGCACCCCAAACCUCAACAGUAUAAAGGUGGUUGGUCUGGCGGUGGUCAAACUUCUAACUCAGAAGUCAAAAGGGAAUCUCGAAGAUAUUCUUCUAACGCACCAAACAUGGAAGAUGAAGCCCAAGUCCGCCAGUUUGAGCAGCCGCAUCAUGUUUCGACCGGUUUUAGAAAGUAUGGAGGUCAAAACAACCGAUCUGGCGGUCAAGAUGAUAAACCCAAGCAUAAUCAGCACAACGCAAAUACAAACAGGGAAAGGCAGAGGCAGAAUCUGCAUUACGAGUACCAGCCAGUUGGAUCAAACAACAAUACCAGUAAUGAUGGUGGAUCUGGCAAUGCAGGUUCACAGUACAAAGAAAGGAGUUCAGGUUCCGGUCAAUCCAGACGAGGCGGGGGUAGCUAUUAUGGACGGCAGUAGUCAGUCGCGUGGCGGCAGGUUAAAAGAAUUUAUAUGAGCUUCUUUUCUUUUUUGGUCAGAAAAUAGAUCCAUGGUAUCAGGUGCAUUGAUCAGGGCGAAUGAAAAACGUUGCAUUCACACGGGUGGUGGUUUGGUUUAGAAAAGACGUAUCUGUUCUGAAAGUUGUCUGACGGUAAAUUGUUGUUGUGAUGUGCACCCGUUCUUGAUAUUAGUCAAGUGGAAAACCUUGAAUCUGCUUGCCUAAACUAAAUAUUUGUUGGUGGAUAGAUUUGAGUUUUGAUAACGCCAACAGAUUUUUUCAAUGGUUCUCUGCUGUUUCUUGAUCACAUCAGUGAUGGUGUGAAUAUUAUGUGACACUAUGGUUACUUAAUGGUAUGCUUGAUUAGAACA